GCGGUCGCAGUCAGCUUGCCCGGAGGGAGAGGGCGGAGCUGACCUUACCGCGUCGGGUGCUUGACACGAACUCCGGGUCAAACGAGAUCAGAUGACCUCGUCACCUACGUCCUCGCUGAGUGAAAGCUGCUGAAACCGCACAUCUCCUGCUGGCGAGUCUUGGACUUCUCGGCGCCUGCCUCAGCCUGGGAAUCGUGAGCGUGUACAUCCUGGCCAUGUGGUCUAAAGAGAAGAUGUUUUAAGUACGUGACCGGCGUAGGCUGCGUGGAGGAGCGAGCAAUGUGCACACCAUGAUCAAAGACUGUCCACUGAGAGUCGCAGUAAAUAUGUACUAAGUAUCCACUGAAACCCUCUGUUUCGGAUACUGUUUGGCUACUGACACUGGCACAUUAUUAUGUACUGUUUUUUCUUCAAACUAUAACUAUUGCAUUUUGGUUGUAUAUUUUGUAUGAUAAGGCUUGCACCUUAGAAGUACUGAUUGUACAUUGUGUUUGCUAUUAGAAACUCUCAAUGGAGCUAGUGUGGAUGUUCUGCCUAUUACAUUUUGAAUGCACUGCAUA
Penaeus monodon (black tiger shrimp) is the source of this 560-nucleotide long non-coding RNA. RefSeq lists it as uncharacterized. The transcript has 3 exons. The record is from RefSeq and is a predicted model, not a curated record. NCBI's taxonomy places the organism in Eukaryota, Metazoa, Arthropoda, Malacostraca, Decapoda, Penaeidae.